GUGGUAGGUGGCCCGCACAUACCUUGCCUUCUUAAGUGGCUCAGAACCUGCAGGCAGGAAGCUUGCAGGGAGAAGCUGAGGCCCUCACCCACCAUAUGGGGCUGCCGUCACCAGCAAAUGGGCAGCACACUCCUAACACUCAGGCCCUGAGGAUAAAAGGUGGUCUGAGUCUUCAACUAACUCGGGAGCCAGGAUUGUCCAAAUUGGGUUUCUGUCACCUGUAACCAAAGAUCCCUGCUGACACAGCCCCUGAGUUGGUCAGACUGAGAGGGACAUUUAAGCUAACUCAGAGAGGCUGACUGUAUCAGGAAGCCAACUGACUCAUUUCCCGUGAGAAAUGCCACUGCUCCUUGGGUCAACCUUUCACAUCAUUACUGCCGGUGUCUCCUUUCCCUGGAGAAAAGCCACCCGGAUUGACGACUGGUCUCUUGAGCAGGCCGCGGUGCCAGCGAGGAUCUAUAGCUAGAGGCAUCAGGCACGGACUGCCCAGGGGUCCAAAAACUGUUUCCGUUAAUGUCCAGACAGUAAAUAUUUUAGACGCGGCGGUCUCUGUCGAAACCAUUAAACUCCAUCAUACUGCAGUGUGUAAACAGCCAAAGACAGCAUGUAAAUGCAUGAGCAUAGCUGUGUUCCAAUAAAACUUUACUUAUGGACAUUGAAA
Long non-coding RNA from Callithrix jacchus (white-tufted-ear marmoset), 661 nucleotides. RefSeq lists it as uncharacterized. NCBI's taxonomy places the organism in Eukaryota, Metazoa, Chordata, Mammalia, Primates, Cebidae. The record is from RefSeq and is a predicted model, not a curated record.